Molecule: ribosomal RNA, 251 nt
Filed under: uncultured prokaryote
Description: partial 16S rRNA
Rfam family: Bacterial small subunit ribosomal RNA
Source: RNAcentral
ACGGAGGAUCCAAGCGUUAUCCGGAAUCAUUGGGUUUAAAGGGUCCGUAGGCGGUCUUAUAAGUCAGUGGUGAAAGCCCAUCGCUCAACGAUGGAACUGCCAUUGAUACUGUAAGACUUGAAUGCUUAGGAAGUAACUAGAAUAUGUAGUGUAGCGGUGAAAUGCUUAGAUAUUACAUGGAAUACCAAUUGCGAAGGCAGGUUACUACUAAGUGAUUGACGCUGAUGGACGAAAGCGUGGGGAGCGAACAG